Molecule: ribosomal RNA, 492 nt
Filed under: uncultured bacterium
Lineage: Bacteria
Description: partial 16S ribosomal RNA
Rfam family: Bacterial small subunit ribosomal RNA
Source: RNAcentral
AGUGAACGCUGGCGGUAGGCCUAACACAUGCAAGUCGAGCGGCAGCACAGUAAGAGCUUGCUCUUACGGGUGGCGAGUGGCGGACGGGUGAGGAAUACAUCGGAAUCUACUUUUUCGUGGGGGAUAACGUAGGGAAACUUACGCUAAUACCGCAUACGACCUACGGGUGAAAGCAGGGGAUCUUCGGACCUUGCGCGAUUGAAUGAGCCGAUGUCGGAUUAGCUAGUUGGCGGGGUAAAGGCCCACCAAGGCGACGAUCCGUAGCUGGUCUGAGAGGAUGAUCAGCCACACUGGAACUGAGACACGGUCCAGACUCCUACGGGAGGCAGCAGUGGGGAAUAUUGGGCAAUGGGCGCAAGCCUGAUCCAGCCAUACCGCGUGGGUGAAGAAGGCCUUCGGGUUGUAAAGCCCUUUUGUUGGGAAAGAAAAGCAGCAGGUUAAUACCCCGCCGUUCUGACGGUACCCAAAGAAUAAGCACCGGCUAACUUCGUG